UGUAGAACUUGAAUAUGGCAAAGUUAAAAUUGAAAACAAAGAAGGUUUGCUUUUUAUGUUUUUUUAUUUUUUAUUUAUUCAUAUUAAAAAUAGGUAAUAUUGUCGUUGGCUUUUCUAGGAAACCAUCUUUUCAGCACAACUAUAACCAGCAGUCCUUAACUCAUUGGAAUGACAGUUUGCUUAUGUAGUGGCAAUUUGAAAGCAAAGUGGUAGCGGGUCUGGUAAUAUCCAUUAUUCGAUUAUAGGUAAUCGUACCCCUGACUCGAAGACCCUUCCUAUUCUCGGUUCGAUACGCUACCCCUAGGACCGAGGACCCAAGACUGGAAAAGGGAGUGAUACCGACGACCCUCAUUUAAAUUACAAAAAAAGAAGGGGGGAAAAACAAAGAAACAAUGAGAAAGUAUUAAAGACCCUGUCCCCGACCAAUCUUCAACUGGAUUGGAAAUGCGGAAAAAAGGAAAGAAGUAAUGCAAAAAAAAAAAGAAAAUGCCAGGGAAGAGGAGGUGGUUGUAGAGAACGGAAUAAGCAAAAUGUAGGGAAUCCAAUUUUCACCUAAUGUCGGUGGCAGCUUCAAUCCGAGUACAUCAACGUCCCUUCGAUUGAAACGACUGCCAUUUCCAUGAAAUAAGAAAAUAGUCGCAAUUGCUUCGAGCUACUUUUA
Long non-coding RNA from Drosophila sechellia, 661 nucleotides. RefSeq lists it as uncharacterized. The transcript has 3 exons. NCBI's taxonomy places the organism in Eukaryota, Metazoa, Arthropoda, Insecta, Diptera, Drosophilidae. The record is from RefSeq and is a predicted model, not a curated record.